CUAAUACUCCUUCCGUCCGAAAAUACUGCCAUCAAAAUGGAUAAAAGGAAUGUAUCUAGACGUAUUUUAAUUCUAGAUAUAUUUUUUUUUCCAUCUUGAUGACAAGUAUUUUCGGACGAAGGGAGUAGUUU
Molecule: non-coding RNA, 131 nt
Organism: Triticum urartu
Lineage: Eukaryota; Viridiplantae; Streptophyta; Magnoliopsida; Poales; Poaceae
Source: Rfam